AACUUUUAACAACGGAUCUCUUGGCUCUCGCAUCGAUGAAGAACGCAGCGAAAUGCGAUAAGUAAUGUGAAUUGCAGAAUUCAGUGAAUCAUCGAAUCUUUGAACGCACCUUGCGCUCUCUGGUAUUCCGGGGAGCACACCUGUUCGAGUGUAUU
RNAcentral lists this ribosomal RNA (155 nucleotides) under Hydnum repandum. RNAcentral describes it as "5.8S ribosomal RNA". It matches the Rfam family "5.8S ribosomal RNA". Rfam says of the family: 5.8S ribosomal RNA (5.8S rRNA) is a component of the large subunit of the eukaryotic ribosome. It is transcribed by RNA polymerase I as part of the 45S precursor that also contains 18S and 28S rRNA. The record is from RNAcentral. Lineage: Eukaryota; Fungi; Basidiomycota; Agaricomycetes; Cantharellales; Hydnaceae.